RNAcentral lists this ribosomal RNA (253 nucleotides) under uncultured bacterium. Its description in RNAcentral is "partial 16S ribosomal RNA". It matches the Rfam family "Bacterial small subunit ribosomal RNA", at positions 524 to 776 of the family's 1533-position model. The record is from RNAcentral.
UACGUAGGUGACAAGCGUUGUCCGGAUUUACUGGGCGUAAAGAGCGCGCAGGCGGUCGUUCAAGUCGCGUGUGAAAGUCCCCGGCUCAACUGGGGAGGGUCACUCGAUACUGAUCGACUCGAAGGCAGGAGAGGGUAGUGGAAUUCCCGGUGUAGUGGUGAAAUGCGUAGAUAUCGGGAGGAACACCAGUGGCGAAGGCGACUACCUGGCCUGUUCUUGACGCUGAGGCGCGAAAGCUAGGGGAGCAAACGGG